This 159-nucleotide non-coding RNA is filed under the name uncultured Succinivibrio sp. The record is from RNAcentral. Lineage: Bacteria; Pseudomonadati; Pseudomonadota; Gammaproteobacteria; Aeromonadales; Succinivibrionaceae.
CGGCAACGCGCAGGCUGAAGGAAGCGGCUAGCAAAUCUCCGGCCUGACGAACAGGAAGCGUCUUAGGCAUGCGCGGAGGGCGAGCGUGCCAAAUAUCGCAAGCCCGGCAUCCAACCAGAUCCGCAUGUGUAGAGGCGACAGGCGGAAGGAGAGAAAGAG